This is a non-coding RNA of Schizosaccharomyces pombe (fission yeast), 1543 nucleotides long. Lineage: Eukaryota; Fungi; Ascomycota; Schizosaccharomycetes; Schizosaccharomycetales; Schizosaccharomycetaceae. The record is from the annotation of a GenBank genome assembly.
UUUUUUUUGUAUUUUCUUUCCUAAUGCAUUAGCCUUUGUAGUAUAUAUGUUCAAUUCUCUUUUAUAUAAAAUAUAAUAAAAAAGGUGGAACAGGAUUAUUAAGCAUGUAAUGCUUUUCCUUCCUAAAUACCCGCAACUCUUAAAGUGUUCAAGUCAUUUCAACAUUUCCUGGUCCCAUAAUAAAAUUUCGUAAUUUAUUUCUGUAUUGAUACAACCCUACUACUAAAUCAGUAAACCCGGUCCUUUCCUUUGAGCGUCCUAGGGACAAAUCGGUAAGCAAAAACCUCUAAAUAGUUUUCAAACUUUAGUAACUCACAUAAUACCCUCAAAGUAAGUGUACUAAGACUAUUGGGAUUACCGGUCAUCAUUUACUUAUCUAAUGUACGCUCUAUAAACCGAAAAAUUAUUGGAAUAUAAAAAUAGAAUCGAAAGUUGAAAACUAAAUUUACUACCUUAACGUAGGUCGAUAUCAUCUACAAAACGUUAGGGAAUCAUCUUAAUCCAUUUUUUACAUAAAAAAAGGAAUGUUAUUUUAGGAAUAGAUACCAACAUUAAGGUAGUAUUACGAAUGCCUCCUAAAAUUGAAUCAUAUAAUUCCAUUCGUUCGACCUUACCAAGCGUUAAAUGCAUUUAAACCAAAACCUUAAAGACUUUAGGAUCGGCACAAUCACGAGCGCAAUGGUAAAGAUGAAAAAACUCUUCAAUACAGUCUUCAGACUUGUCGCCCUGCUCUACCUUCUUUGUAACACGGGCAGUACAUUCUUCAAAAUGGUGUUUCACUUCCUUGCAAUCUGGUGCAUCCAUGCAUUCUAAAAAAUGUUAGCAAGAAACAGUACACCCAUUCAAAUAAGCGAACCUUGAGUCAUUUUUUCCAAAGGAUCAGUAAUUUCUUCUUCUUCUUCUUCUUCUUCUUCCUCUUCCCCUCCUUCUUGGGGUUCCUCAGCUUCUUCCUUUGGAGGUUCCUCAGGUUCCUUGGCCUCCUUUCCUUCCUUUUCUUCAGGUUGAGGGGGUUCAGUCUUUACUUCUUCAGGGGGUUGAAUGGUUUCUGAACAAUCCCAUGAUUAAUACGAAUUUUAUCAAAAUCAACGCUUCAAUACUUACCCUUUUUCUCCUCUUUUUCAUCGGCCCCUUUACCCUGUGCUCCUUUGGCAUCAUCUGCCGAGACAAUAGGUUCUACCACAUUAUUAGCAUCACUUCAAUAACGCACUAUAGAACGUCUACAAAAACGGUUCAUAACAGAUACUGUUAUACCAUACGAACAUUGGCUUUCCAAAAAAAAACAGUAGCGUAAUUACUUACCUUGAGUCUUGAGACUUAGGUUGGCAUCUCUUGCCCCGGUAGAGUCGGUUGUCUUGGGAGAUGGUUCAUCGGGACUCUGGGUCUCAAAGUUCUUUUUUGAAGGAGUAUUCUCUUCAAAUUGCUUUCGAUCUUCCUUAAUCAAUUCAUCCGCUUCGGCAGAAAUCGGGGUGAAAGCUGAAGUAAACAAAUUUUUCCAAAACGACAUUACGAAUUCAAAAUCUUUAAUAAAGAGAAAGUCAGAUAA